Molecule: long non-coding RNA, 363 nt
Organism: Anguilla rostrata (American eel)
Lineage: Eukaryota; Metazoa; Chordata; Actinopteri; Anguilliformes; Anguillidae
Exons: 5
Source: RefSeq, a predicted model, not a curated record
GGGAGGGGAACGGGGUGGAGGUCGGGGGAGGGGAACGAGGGUGAAGGUCGGGGAGGGGCACCGGUGGAGGUCAGGGGAGGGGAACUAGGGUGGAGGUUGGGGAGGGGAACUGGGGUGAAGGUCGGGGGAGGGGAACGGGGUGGAGUUCGGGGGAGGGGAACGAGGGUGGAGGUCAGGGGAGGGGAACGGGGGUGGAGAUCGGGGGAGGGGAACGGGGUUGGGGUUCAGUGGAGGGAAAUGGGGGUGGAAGUCAGGGCAGGGGCACCGGUGGAGGUCGGGGGAGGGGAACCCGCGUUAGACCAGCCUCCUCCUCUUGCAGUCGCGCUCCAUCGGAUCGCGAGCCGGGGAGUGGGCGGCGCCCAG